AGUGAACGCUGGCGGUAGGCCUAACACAUGCCAGUCGAACGGCAGCACAGUAAGAGCUUGCUCUUACGGGUGGCGAGUGGCGGACGGGUGAGGAAUACAUCGGAAUCUACUUUUUCGUGGGGGAUAACGUAGGGAAACUUACGCUAAUACCGCAUACGACCUACGGGUGAGAGCAGGGGAUCUUCGGACCUUGCGCGAAUGAAUGAGCCGAUGUCGGGUUAGCUAGUUGGCGGGGUAAAGGCCCACCAAGGCGAGGAUCCGUAGCUGGUCUGAGAGGAUGAUCAGCCACACUGGAACUGAGACACGGUCCAGACUCCUACGGGAGGCAGCAGUGGGGAAUAUUGGACAAUGGGCGCAAGCCUGAUCCAGCCAUACCGCGUGGGUGAAGAAGGCCUUCGGGUUGUAAAGCCCUUUUGUUGGGAAAGAAAAGCAUCAGGUUAAUACCCCGCUGUUCUGACGGUACCCAAAGAAUAAGCACCGGCUAACUUCGUG
This 492-nucleotide ribosomal RNA is filed under the name uncultured bacterium. RNAcentral's name for it is "partial 16S ribosomal RNA". It matches the Rfam family "Bacterial small subunit ribosomal RNA", at positions 29 to 507 of the family's 1533-position model. The record is from RNAcentral.